UUAAUUACCUCGUCGCCGCCGAAGGGCAAUCGUGAUCAGGAAGGCGAUACCCCAAGGUUCCUGCUUCAGGAGAAGCAACCUUGUAGAUUAUCACAAAGUUGAUAAGACUGGCGGCCAAUUUUUGAUAGUUGGGACGACAAUGUUGUCCCCCUUU
This 154-nucleotide small nuclear RNA is filed under the name Lutzomyia longipalpis. Its description in RNAcentral is "U1 spliceosomal RNA". It matches the Rfam family "U1 spliceosomal RNA". From Rfam's summary of the family: U1 is a small nuclear RNA (snRNA) component of the spliceosome (involved in pre-mRNA splicing). Lineage: Eukaryota; Metazoa; Arthropoda; Insecta; Diptera; Psychodidae. The record is from RNAcentral.